Molecule: small nuclear RNA, 104 nt
Organism: Saimiri boliviensis boliviensis (Bolivian squirrel monkey)
Lineage: Eukaryota; Metazoa; Chordata; Mammalia; Primates; Cebidae
Source: Ensembl
GUCCUCGCUUCAGCAGUACAUCCACUCAAAUCGGAACAAUACAGAGAUUAGCAUGACCCCUGCACAAGGAUGACAUGCAAAUUCAUAAAGCGUUCCAUAAAAAG